CAUCGACCUAACACAUGACAAGGUACGGAACGGGGCAGACAACUACCCUAGGUGGACGGACGGGUAGAGUAACACAUAAGCAAUCUGCCUUCACAGGGGAUAACAGCGGGAAACUGCUGCUAAUACCGCAUAAGACCACGGUACCGCAUGGUACAGGGGUAAAAACGAAUCAGUGGUGAAGGAUGAGCUUAUGUCCCAUUAGCUAGUUGGUGAGAUAACAGCCCACCAAGGCGACGAUGGUAGCCGACCUGAGAGGGUGAUCGGCCACACUGGAACUGAGACACGGUCCAGACUCCUACGAGAGGCAGCAGUGGGGAAUAUUGGGCAAUGGAAGGAAACUCUUACCCAGCAAUGCCGCGUGAGUGAAGAAGGUCUUCGGAUUGUAAAGCUCUUUGAUUGGGGACGAAGAAAGUGACGGUACCCAAAGAACGAGCCCCGGCUAACUACGUGCCAGCCGCCGC
RNAcentral lists this ribosomal RNA (461 nucleotides) under uncultured bacterium. RNAcentral's name for it is "bacterial SSU rRNA". It matches the Rfam family "Bacterial small subunit ribosomal RNA", at positions 43 to 518 of the family's 1533-position model. The record is from RNAcentral.